AUCGCAUAAAGAGGUUAACCUCCGCCGCCCGCCUCACCCGGCACGCCGCCGCGCCGCCCGCCUCACCCGCGCCAUACCUCCACCGCUCCCCUCACCAGCCACGCCACCGCGCCGCCCGCUUCACCCGCUGCCCGCCGUGCCAUACCUGCGCGACCGCCCGCCUCACCCGGCAAGACGCCACGCCGCCCGCCUCACCCUGGGCCUUCCCCGCGCCGUACCUCUGCCGCCCGCCCCCCUCCCGCCCUCCCUGCGCCGUAUGUCCGCCGCCGGCCUCGCCAGCCACGUCACUGUGCCGCCCGUCUCACCUGCUGCAGUACCCUCCCCCCUCUCCCUCGCGUCGCCCGCCUCCCUUCGCCGCACUCCCCUCUCUCCUCUCCCUCGCAUCGCCUGCCUCCCCUCACCGCUGCCUUAGGAUCUUCUCCGCACCGCCACCGUUCAGUCGUCGUCGCCGUGUCUCCUUCGUCGCGCACAGCCGUCAUGGUCUCAGGUCGCUUGCACCUUCUCCCAUGCUGACUAACGGCGUCACCGCCGCCGCCGCCAUCAUCACCAGCACCGACCUCUCCUCUCAGAUAGCCAAAAACAUCAUGUUGAGCUUUGAGUGGUCUCUCCGAGAAAUGGAGCCUGAAGAAGCAGUAGACAAUUGAUGUCGUUGCAAUUUCAUGCGCAAUCUCCAAAUGAGAGGUACACUGUACAAGUCUUGAAAAAAGUUGUGUAACUGAUCUGAAUUGAAAUGUAAAAACAAAAAUUAACCAGUUAAGUUUUGAGUGGUCUCUCCAUGCCUCUUGUCACAGGGUUUAUGGGGAUGUUU
RNAcentral lists this small RNA (808 nucleotides) under Oryza sativa Japonica Group (Japanese rice). RNAcentral's name for it is "sRNA Os11g0631800". The record is from RNAcentral. Lineage: Eukaryota; Viridiplantae; Streptophyta; Magnoliopsida; Poales; Poaceae.